Molecule: long non-coding RNA, 712 nt
Filed under: Physcomitrium patens
Lineage: Eukaryota; Viridiplantae; Streptophyta; Bryopsida; Funariales; Funariaceae
Description: long non-coding RNA (PPAT_LNC007856)
Source: RNAcentral
UAAAAUAAUCAUAAAUAUAUCUUAAAUAAAUCUCAACCAAAUUCUAAAUUAUUACUAAUUAAAAUCCUAAUAUACUUCAAUAUAAUCCUAGGCCAAAUCCUAACUAAAUCCUAACUAAAUCUUAAAUCUUAAAUCAAAUUCUAAACAAAUUCUAAACUCUAAAUCAAAUCUUAACCAAAGCUUAUACAAAUUCCAAAUCCUAAACAAAUUCUAGACCUUGAAUCAAAUCCUAACAAAAUACUAACCAAAUCCUAAAUUCUAAACCAAACCUUAGACAAAUCUUAGACUCUAAAUUAAAUCCUAAAUCCUAAAUUAAACUCUAAUUAAAUCCUAAUCAAAUCUUAAAUCCUAAAUCAAAUAUUAAUCAAAUCCUAAAUCCAAAAUCAAAUCCUAAUCAAAUCUUAAAUCUUAAAUCAAACUCUAACCAAAUUCUAAUCCUAACCAAAUUCUAAAUUCAAAGAUAGUUUAGAACUUCAAUAUCUUCUCAUUAAACCAUUGAUCUUAUUUCAAUUUUUAUACAUCUUUUAAUCUUUUAGUUAUAAAUAAGUAUAACAAAUUUGAAGACAAUCGUACUUACCAAAUAGAAAAAAAAUCCUAAAAUUUACUUGGAUGUUGGAUAGCCUCCUUCUCUAAUCUUGAUGCUGAUCUUCCAAUACUAGCAUCCCUCUUUUUCUCCAUUCAAUUGAUUUCAAACUUCUUAUAUAUGUGAAAU